GACGAACGCUGGCGGCGUGCCUAAUACAUGCAAGUCGAACGCUGACGGGAGUAGCUUGCCCUUCUUGGAUGAGUUGCGAACGGGUGAGUAACGCGUAGGUAACCUGGCUUGUAGCGGGGGAUAACUAUUGGAAACGAUAGCUAAUACCGCAUAACGAUGGAUGCCACAUGUCAAUUAUUUGAAAUGGGCCUUUGCUCCACUACAAGAUGGACCUGGGUUGUAUUAGCUAGUAGGUGAGGGAAUGGCUCACCUAGGCGACGAUACAUAGCCUACCUGAGAGGGUGCACGGCCACCAUGGGACUUGGACACGGCCCAGACUCCUACGGGAGGCAGCAGUAGGGAAUCUUCGGAAAUGGGGGCAACCCUGACCGAGCAACGCCGCGUGAGGGAAGAAAGGUUUCGGAUCGGAAAGCUCUGUUGUAAGUCAAGAACGGGGGUGAGGGUGGAAAGUUCACACUGUGACGGUAGCUGACCAGAAAGCGACGGCUAACUACGUG
RNAcentral lists this ribosomal RNA (497 nucleotides) under uncultured bacterium. RNAcentral's name for it is "partial 16S ribosomal RNA". It matches the Rfam family "Bacterial small subunit ribosomal RNA", at positions 28 to 507 of the family's 1533-position model. The record is from RNAcentral.